GCCAAAUUAAAUCUCUCCUCCCCUUGAUUGUCUCAGGUAUUUUAUUUCAGCAAUGAAAAGCUGACUAACACAUUGCCCCACUCUGCUGGGGUGAAUCUGUGGAUUGAUGAUGACAGGAAGAAGGGGUACCUUGAUAACUGGGUGGUAGUUUAUAGUCUAGAGCAUUCUUUCCCAAGCACAGGGUGAAGAAUGACCUGUUUUGGAUCAAGGCACCACUGUGGAAGAAAGGUUUGAUUCCAGUGCAGAUGCAUGGGCCCCAACCCAGAGACUAUUUUCACUAGGAUUGGGUGAGACUUGUAACCUAUUUUCAAAGAAUCUUCAACAAGGUAAUACUGUGCCCACCAGGGCCUGUCCCUGUGGUGAUCCAGAGAGUGGUAAGUGUCCACAAGGGUACCUGCAAGGUUGUCUCAGGUGGCAGCAUACAUGUAGGUCACCAAACAUCACUUAGUCAGUUUGGCACUUGCUCAUCUUACAUGUCAAUGAUACAUCUGGCUCCAUCAGUAGAACUCCUUGCUUCUAAUUAGCAGAGUGAUAUUAAGUUUUCAUAGGGAGAAGUUAAUAAGGAAAAACAUGUUGAAGAGCUCCUUAGAGUAGACGAAAGUAAAAAGUGUUGGCUUUCUGAAUAGGACUCCCAUAGCUUAGGAAAUAAAUAGCAAGAAUCAACAAAUAGGAUGGCAUCAAAUUACAAUGCUUCUGCACAGCAAAGGAAAUCAUUAACAUUGUGAAGAAACAGCCCUCAGAAUGGGAGAAAAUCUUUGCCAGCUACUCUUCCAACAGAGGAAUAAUAUUUGAAUGUAAAAAGAACUCAGAUUCAACAUCAGAAAAACAAAUAAUCUAUUUAAUAAAUAGGCAAAUUAACUAAGCAGAUACUUCUUUUAAAAAGUACAAAUGGAAUUCAAUUUAUGGAAAAGUGCUCAUCUUUUGGCAUCAGGGAAAUGGAAAUCACAACUACAAUGAGAUUCCAUCUAACUCUAGUCAGAACAGCAAUCAUUAAGACCCCAAAUAACAAAUGCUAGCAAGGAUAUGGGGGGGAUGACUCAUGCACUGUUGAUGUGAAUGCAAAUUAGUACAGCCCCACAGAAAUCAAUAAGGAAUUUCUUCAAAAAACCAAAAAUCAAACUACCACAUGACCCAGCUCCACCACUCCUCAAUAUUUAUCCAAAAGAAUUAAAGUCAGCAUAUAGUAAUAAAUAUGAAUGUCUAUGUUUAUUAUGGCAAAAUUCACCAUUUCCAAGUUAUAGAAUUAUCCCAUGUGUCCAUCUACAAGUGACUGGAUAAAGAAAAUGUGGCACAAAUAUGCAAUGGAGUUGAAUUCCUUCAUAAAGAAGAACAAAAUUGUACCAUUUGCAGGAAAAUGGAUGGAUCUGGAGAUUAUCAUGUUAUGCAAAAUAAGUGACACUCGGACAAGUAACAGAAGGACAUCAUAAAAGCAAAAGGGUGACUAUUAGGUAGAGGAAGGGGUCUAGGAAAAGGAGGAGGGGAAGGCAAGGGGAGGUAUUGAGGAGUGCAAUUAGGAGUGCAAUUAAUCAAGUUAUGUUAUAUAAGUGUAUGAAUAAGCCACAGUGGAAUCCACUAUUCUGUACAAUUAUUAUGCAACAAUUAAAAAAAAAACGAAAAAAGUGUUGAGAAACAUUGGUUUAUGCAAGAAUGUCUGUAUUUCUGCUGAGAAGUUAAAAUUAUGCCAGGUCAACCACACCCUUUCAUUCUGCCUCUCUGUGCCCAUGGACAAUGGGGCCAAAGAUAAGAUCUGAAUUUACAUGUUAGAGUUUCUCCAGCCAUUAACUGUGAAUGGUCAUAUUUGCCCUGACUUGUACAGUUAGGAUGAGAUCUCUCUUUUAAUCCCAUGGCUCUAGUCAUUUGUUCCACUCGUUUGUCACUUAGCACUUAGCAUUAGUGACCUGACAUCUUUUGUAUGUGUCUGUUUUGUCUUCAUAACUAGAUUAGAAAGUCUUUUAUGGUAGAGACCUUGUGUUCACCUGAUAGUGCACUAAUUUACUCACGCGUCUAUCAGACAGGCAUUGAGCACUGCCAGGCACAGGGAUAGAUUAAAUUAAAAAAAAAUAGUAAGAUAUAGUCUCUGACUUUAAACAUUUCUAGCAAACAAACCAUGGCUUGGAAAAUAUAAUGACUGAGAUGUGUUUAUUUUGUACAGAAAAGUACCCUGCCCAGCGGAGAGGAGGCCAUCUUUAACUGAGGCUCAAAGGAAAAAUGAGGAAGAGUAAGUUUUCCAGGUAGAGAAUGGAUGGGGAACAGGAAGACCAUUCCAGGCUGAACUAGAGCUUC
Molecule: long non-coding RNA, 2283 nt
Filed under: Marmota monax (woodchuck)
Lineage: Eukaryota; Metazoa; Chordata; Mammalia; Rodentia; Sciuridae
Source: RNAcentral